AGCUUUACGCAGUGGCAAUAUUGUAGUCAAUGAGGUUUAACUGAGGCGCGAUUAUAGCUAAUUAAAAAGACAAACUGUAACCUAGAAAUUAUCUUAACUUAGAAGAGAAAAUAGAAAUUUUAGCAUAUGAUUUUUCCCUAAUUUUUUCCCCUCUUUCAAAGA
Small nuclear RNA from Vulpes vulpes (red fox), 162 nucleotides. Its record names the gene U4. It matches the Rfam family "U4 spliceosomal RNA". Rfam says of the family: U4 small nuclear RNA (U4 snRNA) is a component of the major U2-dependent spliceosome. The structure of U4 snRNA from yeast and human has been reported. U4 snRNA presents a k-turn RNA motif in the 5p-SL related to recognition of Snu13 protein. Lineage: Eukaryota; Metazoa; Chordata; Mammalia; Carnivora; Canidae. The record is from Ensembl.